This 644-nucleotide ribosomal RNA is filed under the name uncultured bacterium. Its description in RNAcentral is "bacterial SSU rRNA". It matches the Rfam family "Bacterial small subunit ribosomal RNA", at positions 8 to 607 of the family's 1533-position model. The record is from RNAcentral.
AGAGUUUGAUCAUGGCUCAGGAUGAACGCUGGCGGCGUGCCUAAUACAUGCAAGUCGAACGCUUUGUGGUUCACUGAUUUGAAGAGCUUGCUCAGAUAUGAUGAUGGACAUUGCAAAGAGUGGCGAACGGGUGAGUAACACGUGGGAAACCUACCUCUUAGCAGGGGAUAACAUUUGGAAACAAAUGCUAAUACCGUAUAACAAUGACAACCGCAUGGUUGUUAUUUAAAAGAUGGUUCUGCUAUCACUAAGAGAUGGUCCCGCGGUGCAUUAGCUAGUUGGUAAGGUAAUGGCUUACCAAGGCGAUGAUGCAUAGCCGAGUUGAGAGACUGAUCGGUCACAAUGGGACUGAGACACGGCCCAUACUCCUACGGGAGGCAGCAGUAGGGAAUCUUCCACAAUGGGCGAAAGCCUGAUGGAGCAACGCCGCGUGUGUGAUGAAGGGUUUCGGCUCGUAAAACACUGUUGUAAGAGAAGAAUGACAUUGAGAGUAACUGUUCAAUGUGUGACGGUAUCUUACCAGAAAGGAACGGCUAAAUACGUGCCAGCAGCCGCGGUAAUACGUAUGUUCCAAGCGUUAUCCGGAUUUAUUGGGCGUAAAGCGAGCGCAGACGGUUAUUUAAGUCUGAAGUGAAAGCCCUCAG